GAUGAACGCUGGCGGCGUGCCUAAUACAUGCAAGUCGAGCGAACGGACGAGAAGCUUGCUUCUCUGAUGUUAGCGGCGGACGGGUGAGUAACACGUGGAUAACCUACCUAUAAGACUGGGAUAACUUCGGGAAACCGUAGCUAAUACCGGAUAAUAUUUUGAACCGCAUGGUUCAAAAGUGAAAGACGGUCUUGCUGUCACUUAUAGAUGGAUCCGCGCUGCAUUAGCUAGUUGGUAAGGUAACGGCUUACCAAGGCAACGAUGCAUAGCCGACCUGAGAGGGGGAUCGGCCACACUGGAACUGAGACACGGUCCAGACUCCUACGGGAGGCAGCAGUAGGGAAUCUUCCGCAAUGGGCGAAAGCCUGACGGAGCAACGCCGCGUGAGUGAUGAAGGGCUUCGGAUCGUAAAACUCUGUUAUUAGGGAAGAACAGAUGUGUAAGUAACUGUGCACAUCUUGACGGUACCGAAUCAGAAAGCCACGGCUAACUACGU
RNAcentral lists this ribosomal RNA (496 nucleotides) under uncultured bacterium. RNAcentral's name for it is "partial 16S ribosomal RNA". It matches the Rfam family "Bacterial small subunit ribosomal RNA", at positions 28 to 506 of the family's 1533-position model. The record is from RNAcentral.